GUUCAAGUCUAAAAUUAAUGGCUGCCAUCAGCAGAGCCUUGCAGCUCUCUUUUCACUCUUGCAGCUAGCAUUCUAGUGCAGAGCUAACUACUAAGUAGAGUAGCAACACUCGGUAAACAAGUGUUUGACUACGUGCUCUUCCGAAAAGGCUGCAAUGGCAUUCCAAGUAAGCAAAACUAGCCAUAACUUGAGAACGAAGCAUUAUUUUGCAAAUCCACGAAUUAAAAUCCAAGAAAACAUGACUAGAAGCCUAUAGAAACUCUUACUUGCACUUGAUUCAUCCUUGAGCAGCUGUAGCAGCUAGUCUACACACACAGAGUGACAGACACACACACACACAAACCAUAGAUAGAAAAGGGAGGGAUUGGAAACGAAUCACGUGUGCCGAACACUCCUUGUCUGCCGGAAGCAUAGAUCAAAGAGGGAAGUGAUCACUACUUAUACUUCCUCAAAAUAAAAAUUGUGUUCCAGCCAGCUGAUUUCGAGUAUAUGGCUUUCUAGUUCUCAAGAAUGGCUUUCUAGCUCAGGUCUACAUUUGCACUGUACAAUGGAAAGUAGUGCUCCGGCUCCAUUUCAGAGUAGGUUUAAGGAAGCUUUUAUGACUGUUUUGACAGAGAGUACAUAGAUUCAAAGCUUCAUCACCAGAGGAAGCAGUUGCCCUCAACACAGCUUCUGCGUUGAUAGUUAAUUUCGUUGGAGGGUUCUGAACAUAGUGUGAUGGUUCGGGCUGAAAUUCUACUCAGAAUUGAAGUCGUGACACUCUGCAGCAUCAUUUAAUUAUCAUGCACAGUUAAAUUUAUAGAAUUGAACAAUUAUUUAUCACAGUUAAGAAUUGAACAUGUGAAUGUGAUUGAAUUAACAUGUGAACAAUUGAUUUCUCUAUA
This is a long non-coding RNA of Halichondria panicea, 884 nucleotides long. RefSeq lists it as uncharacterized. The record is from RefSeq and is a predicted model, not a curated record. The transcript has 2 exons. Lineage: Eukaryota; Metazoa; Porifera; Demospongiae; Suberitida; Halichondriidae.